CCCUUAGAUGUUCUGGGCUGCACACGUGCUACACUGGCAGGUUCAGCGAGCUUCAUGCCCUGAUCUGAAAGGAAUGGGAAAUCUUUUCAAAACCUGUCGUGCUUGGGAUAGAUGUUUGCAAUUAUUCAUCUUCAACGAGGAUUGCCUUGUAAGCGCACGUCAUCAGCGUGCAUUGAAUACGACCCUGUAUUCUGUACACACCGCCCGUCGCUCCUACCGAUUGAAGUUUUCGGUGAGUCGACAGGAGGAUUUUUUUGAAACUGGUUCGCCAGUGGAUUUUAGAUCCAAAUGCCAACGAAUCGAUGGCUUUAGAGGAAGGAGAAGUCGUAACA
Molecule: ribosomal RNA, 332 nt
Filed under: uncultured eukaryote
Lineage: Eukaryota
Description: partial 18S ribosomal RNA
Rfam family: Eukaryotic small subunit ribosomal RNA
Source: RNAcentral